UAAAUUAAGAAAAUGCUUUCAUGUUUCAAA
This 30-nucleotide non-coding RNA is filed under the name Rattus norvegicus (Norway rat). Lineage: Eukaryota; Metazoa; Chordata; Mammalia; Rodentia; Muridae. The record is from RNAcentral.